RNAcentral lists this ribosomal RNA (253 nucleotides) under uncultured bacterium. Its description in RNAcentral is "partial 16S ribosomal RNA". It matches the Rfam family "Bacterial small subunit ribosomal RNA", at positions 524 to 776 of the family's 1533-position model. The record is from RNAcentral.
GACAGAGGUGCCAAGCGUUAGGCGGAAUCACUGGGCUUAAAGCGUGUGUAGGUGGAUGUCUAAGUACCUUGUGAAAUCCCAUGGCUCAACCAUGGAACUGCUUGGUAUACUGGACGUCUUGAGCCACUUAGGGGCUACCGGAACAAAUGGUGGAGCGGUGAAAUGCGUAGAUAUCAUUUGGAACGCCAAUGGUGAAAACAGGUAGCUGGGAGUGUGCUGACACUGAGACACGAAAGCCAGGGGAGCAAACGGG